Long non-coding RNA from Oncorhynchus gorbuscha (pink salmon), 1610 nucleotides. RefSeq lists it as uncharacterized. Lineage: Eukaryota; Metazoa; Chordata; Actinopteri; Salmoniformes; Salmonidae. The transcript is spliced from 4 exons. The record is from RefSeq and is a predicted model, not a curated record.
AGAUGGGUCUGGACUGCUCUCCGACUGGCCUGUGUGCACCGUGUAAAGACAAACUGGGAUCAUGACAGGAGUUCCCUGGUGAUCAAUCCUCCAAAUUUCCAGCAGAUGGUGCUACAACACCUAACAGUAAAACAAGUGUAGAAAUGCGGAAGUCAAAACGUAGUUACAAAAAAAGUGUAGAAAUGCGGAAAUAAAAACGUAGUUAUAAAAAAAGUUCCCCAAAAACGUCGAUACUGUGUUGAAGACGAGCAGCUGCUGAACCCAGCUAUCAAAAGCGUAUUCUCCGUAGUGUAAAUGUAACCGACUGAGUAGGCAUAGUUAUAUAGCUCCUGUCACCCAAUUGCAGGCCUUCAAUGUGUUAAGCUGAGUAUUAUUGCACAGUUCCUGGAAAAGUCGUCCACUAUUACUUGGCUGGGCCUAGCUAGUUAACUUUAGCGCGCUCAAAGUGGUCAUAUUUAGCCAGCUAAACUCACUUUAAAAAUGCACAUAUUUAAUAUAAUUGAUUCAUAAUGUCAACAUGAAAAAUAAUGACAUGUCAUAUAGGCCGGUAAUACUACUGCACACCAGACCAACGAAAGGCAUGGUUUAGACAUAGCCUGGCAUUCUCCAGACCAAGGAUAGGCAAACUCCAGUCCUCGGGACAGUAUUUCAAAAACAUUUUGGGGGAUCAGAAUGAUCCGGAUUCUGUAAUCCUCAUUUUUGCUAUCCCGGACCAAAUCGAUCUGUCUGUUUUUGAACCGAUUUUCCAGAAAAUAAUUGGAUAGGAUCGUUCUGAUCCGGAACCACAAUAUCAAGGUCACAGAAUCCAGAUGUUCAGUGCUUUGAACAGACCUACACCUCGCCAUCUACUGGACAGAGCAUUCUAGUUGCUCUCUUCGCCAACCGGGGUUAUGAUGAGAAGCCAGAGGUUGCUCUGCCAAGUGGACUAAACGAUAAAGUGACUGGGACAGAGAAGUACGAGCAGUUCCAUUAUCAGCAUGUCAUUCUCCAGCUGCUCCAGCUGCGUACCCCCUCUAGCACCAGGGAAUUGUUGGGUGAAGAGUUGCCUGAGAAGUUCAUACCCUCACACUUGAUUUGUCCACUAACUAACAAGAUGUUUGUUGACCCAGUGAAGAACCAGGAGGGAACAGUGUACGAGCGAAAGGCCAUUGAGAAACAUCUGAAGAGGACAUGGCAUGGAACUGAUCCCAAGACAAACAAGUUACUGACAUUAACUGACCUCAAGCCCUACCAAGACAUGAGAAAAAUGGCGAGGGACUAUCGCAAACAGCAAAUUCAGUAGACAGAUGUUUAAAACACAAUGUGAUAGCCAAAAUUUAGCAUUCCUGCCUUGUAGCCUACACCUUUUGGUGAAACAUGAUGAUGAUGUUGGAACAAACAUUGAAGUAUGCUAACAAUUGUCUGUAACUGAUAUUUAUACUUUCUAGAGGGAAUAGGUCUUCAUUUUCUUAGGGUUUGUACUUGAUUAUAAACUGGGUGGAUCGGGCCUUGAAUGCUGCUUGGCUUACAGCCAUGGUAUAUCAGACCGUAUACCACGUGUAUGACAAAACAUUUAUUUUUACUGCUCUAAUUACAUUGGUAACCAGUUUAUAAUAACAAUAAGGUACCUC